This 328-nucleotide unclassified non-coding RNA is filed under the name soil metagenome. RNAcentral describes it as "partial contains 5.8S ribosomal RNA, internal transcribed spacer 2, and large subunit ribosomal RNA". The stretch from base 1 to 120 matches the Rfam family "5.8S ribosomal RNA", at positions 35 to 154 of the family's 154-position model. The record is from RNAcentral.
GAUGAAGAACGUAGCGAAAUGCGAUAAGUAAUGUGAAUUGCAGAAUUCAGUGAAUCAUCGAAUCUUUGAACGCACAUUGCGCCCCUUGGUAUUCCGAGGGGCAUGCCUGUUCGAGCGUCAUUAUAACCCUUCAAGCUCAGCUUGGUGUUGGGGCCUACUGUAACUGGCAGCCCUUAAAAUCAGUGGCAGUGUCAUUAGGCUCUAAGCGUAGUAAUUUUUCUCGCUAUAGUGUGUACUGGGCGCUAGUCAGAACCCCAAACUUUUAUAUGAUUGACCUCGGAUCAGGUAGGGAUACCCGCUGAACUUAAGCAUAUCAAUAAGCGGAGGA